UACGUAGGGCGCAAGCGUUGUCCGGAAUUAUUGGGCGUAAAGAGCUCGUAGGCGGCUUGUCACGUCGGGUGUGAAAGCCCGGGGCUUAACCCCGGGUCUGCAUUCGAUACGGGCUAGCUAGAGUGUGGUAGGGGAGAUCGGAAUUCCUGGUGUAGCGGUGAAAUGCGUAGAUAUCGGGAGGAACACCUGAGGCGAAGGCGGGCUACUGGGCCGAUACUGACGCUGAUGCGCGAAAGCCAGGGGAGCGAACGGG
This 253-nucleotide ribosomal RNA is filed under the name uncultured bacterium. Its description in RNAcentral is "partial 16S ribosomal RNA". It matches the Rfam family "Bacterial small subunit ribosomal RNA", at positions 524 to 776 of the family's 1533-position model. The record is from RNAcentral.